This 402-nucleotide ribosomal RNA is filed under the name uncultured bacterium. RNAcentral's name for it is "partial 16S ribosomal RNA". It matches the Rfam family "Bacterial small subunit ribosomal RNA", at positions 338 to 732 of the family's 1533-position model. The record is from RNAcentral.
CCUACGGGUGGCAGCAGUAGGGAAUCUUCCACAAUGGGCGCAACCCUGAUGGAGCAACACCGCGUGGGUGAAGAAGGUUUUCGGCUCGUAAAGUUCUGUUGUUAGAGAAGAACGUGCGUGAGAGUAACUGUUCACGCCGUGACGGUAUCCAACCAGAAGGUCAGGGCUAACUACGUGCCAGCAGCCUCGGUAAUACGAAGGUGGCAAGCGUUAGCCGGAUUUAGUGGGCGUAAAGCGAGCGUAGGCGGUUGCUUAGGUUUGAUGUGAAAGCUUUCGGCUUAACCUAAGAAGUGCAUCGGAAACCGGGAGACUUGAGUGCAGAAGAGGAAAGUGGAACUCUAUGUGUAGGGGUGGAAUGCGUAGAUAUAUGGAAGAACACGAGUGGCGAAGGCGGCUGUCUGG